RNAcentral lists this long non-coding RNA (1406 nucleotides) under Cricetulus griseus (Chinese hamster). RNAcentral describes it as "lncRNA (ENSCGRG00015042325.1)". Lineage: Eukaryota; Metazoa; Chordata; Mammalia; Rodentia; Cricetidae. The record is from RNAcentral.
CUGCCGAGGGGCUUGCUGCUUCUUAGUACCUGCCCUGCUGCCAGCACUCUCCGGACUCUACUUUCAGAUCAAGGUCACACCCUUCCACCCACUUGCAUGCCAAGGUCACACCCUUCCCCGGACAGGCAGGUCACCUCUGUGUUCUGUUUCAAGUUUCUGAGCACCCUGUGCUGUUGGCGGGCACUGUCUGGCUUGCAUCUCAGCUGGAUUUCUCCCUCUUCCCAAUUCUGCCUCAGCCCAGUCCUUUGCACGGGUGUUGACUCAAGCACCACUCCCUGAUAAACAUCCGGAACUCUAAGCUCUGCCUGACUCUGUUUCCUGGAGAAGUUGAACUGCUUUACAGCAUGAAGAGCCUCGAUGAGUCAGAUGGUGAAAAGUACUGAAGUGACUGAGGACCGAAUGAUGAUGAUGAGGAGCCUGCAGAGACCAGAAGGGGGUGUUGGAUAUGUCAGCACUGAAGUGACAGUACUUCAAAGAGAUAUCUUGCCUGACUCUGCCACACCAACUGUCACAAAGGUCCCAGGACACGAUGUGGGUGGUUCUUCUCCACACCACAAAGGUGGACCACCGAGGACCUGCAUCCUUCUGUGAUUUCUCACCCACCCGAGAGCCCAUGCCAAGCCCUUAGAGCGCCUCCUGAAUUCCUUUCUAUCCCAUCUCAUGCCUUACAUGAGUUAAACAGUUCCUGAUAGACAAAAUGGGUAACUCAGUAUUCUGUGUAUAAACUGAAUUUCCUAGUGCUGCUUAGGACAUCGUGCUCAACGGAGCAAUAGAAAGUCAAUUUAACACAAUAAACAGGGAAAGCAGAAAGAGUAAACAAAACGUGGAAGGGUGAGGCUUGUUCUUUCUGAUGAGGCAGCUUCCUGUCAGCCUUUGAAAGAACAAGUUUUUGAAAAAUGUCCGACCCUACUCAUUUGGUUUUUUCCACAGUCCAUUACAUAUUUUUAUACAUUUCCAGAAAAAAAAAUAUGAGAAAAGAUGUGAUUAAAACCAGAAAUAAUUCACAAGUGGAAUACAAGUUAUUUUAUUAAUUUGUUUAAGUGUGUGUGUGUGUGUGUGUGUGUGUGUGUGUGUGUGUGUGUGUGUGUGUAUGCGCCCUCUGUGGAGGACAUAGGAAAAUCUGUAGGAGUCAAUUCUUCCCUUCCCUUGUGUGGGGCCUGGGAUCUAACUCACACCUUCAUCUGAGCCAUUUUGUCAACACCAUGCAAACUAUUUUAAAGCUUUUUGUUUGUUUUGAAACAGGCCCCUCAUGUAGUCCAGACUGGCCUCACCUCAAUGGCCCUGCCUCAGCAUCUCAGAGUGCUGGGUUAAGAGUCCACACCACUACCUAGGGUUCUUUAAGCUAUUUUUCAUCUGAAACAAACCUCCAGGAAGCAUCCACCACAGUUCAAGGGUGCAAAAACAGC